This 755-nucleotide non-coding RNA is filed under the name Altiverruca navicula. Lineage: Eukaryota; Metazoa; Arthropoda; Thecostraca; Verrucomorpha; Verrucidae. The record is from RNAcentral.
AAAGAACUGUUAGGUCCAUAUUGUUAUUUAAGUUAUUUGAUAGUAUUUACAUGUUAGUAGAAGCAAAAAUAAAUGGUAAUGAUAAAUUUUUUUGGGGAUUCUCAGUAGGUAAUUUUAAGUAUAAAUAUAAGUUUUACUUAGGAAAUCAUGUUAUAAGUGGAAAAUUACGUGCCAGCAGCCGCGGUUAUACGUAAAUUUAAAGUUUAAAUUGAUUUAUAAGGUAGUAAUUAGUCUUAAUUAAAAUUAGUUAGUAAAAUUUUAUAGGUACAAUUAAAUAUUUUAUUAAUUAUUUUAUUAGUUAAUUACAUUAAAGGUUACAGGAACCAGGAUUAGAUACCCUGUUACUAACAUAUUUAAGUAAUCUUAGAAUAGUAAGUUUUUUGAAAUUUAAUGGGUUUGGCGGCUGGACAGCUUAUUAGAGGAACCUGCCCUGUAAAUGAUGAGCCACGAUAAUCUUACUUUUAUUUAGUAAAUACAGCUUGUAUAUCGCUGUUGUUAGAUGGUUUUUAUAAAAAAUUUUCUAUAAUGAUAAUUUCAUUGACUUCAAGCAAUGUAGCAGUUUAUAUAAAAGGUAGAGGUGGGUUACAAUGUGAAAUAAUAUACGGCUAUAAAAUAUGAAAAAUUUUUUAAAGGAGGAUUUAAUUGUAAAUUAUUUUAAAAUUGAUUAUUGCUCUGUCUUGUGUACAUACCGCCCGUCGCUCUCUUUAUAUUAGGGAUAAGUCGUAACAAGGUAAGUGUAACGGAAGUUGUACUUG